CACGACUACAGAAAAAAAAACUCCACAGGGUUCUAAUAUAUUAUUCUUAUAUUUAAAAAAAGGAUUAAACAAUAGCCAGGCCAAGCUGUUAGCUUUAUUUCCACGCUGUCGUGC
Molecule: small RNA, 114 nt
Filed under: Salix viminalis (osier)
Lineage: Eukaryota; Viridiplantae; Streptophyta; Magnoliopsida; Malpighiales; Salicaceae
Source: RNAcentral